UAAGAAGGUUUUCGGAUCGUAAAGCUCUGUCUUCAGGGACGAAUGUGCUUUUUGUGAAUAAUGAGGAGCAAUGACGGUACCUGAGGAGGAAGCCACGGCUAACUACGUGCCAGCAGCCGCGGUAAUACGUAGGUGGCGAGCGUUGUCCGGAAUUAUUGGGCGUAAAGGGCGCGUAGGCGGAAAUAUCAGUCUGUCUUAAAAGUGCGGGGCUCAACCCCGUGAUGGGAUGGAAACUAUAUUUCUUGAGUGCAGGAGAGGAAAGUGGAAUUCCUAGUGUAGCGGUGAAAUGCGUAGAUAUUAGGAGGAACACCAGUGGCGAAGGCGACUUUCUGGACUGUGUCUGACGCUGAGGCGCGAAAGCCAGGGGAGUGAACGGGAUUAGAUACCCCGGUAAUCCUGGCCCGUAAACGAUGGGUACUAGGUGUAGGAGGUAUCGACCCCUUCUGUGCCCGGAGUUAACGCAAUAAGUACCCCGCCUGGGGAGUACGGCCGCAAGGUUGAAACUCAAAGGAAUUGACGGGGGCCCGCACAAGCGGUGGAGUAUGUGGUUUAAUUCGACGCAACGCGAAGAACCUUACCAGGAUUUGACAUUGAGUGAAAGACCUAGAGAUAGGUCCCUCCCUUCGGGGACACAAAAACAAGUGGGUGCAUGGCUGUCGUCAACUCGUGUCGUGAGAUGUUGGGUUAAGU
Molecule: ribosomal RNA, 690 nt
Filed under: uncultured bacterium
Lineage: Bacteria
Description: bacterial SSU rRNA
Rfam family: Bacterial small subunit ribosomal RNA
Source: RNAcentral